This 487-nucleotide ribosomal RNA is filed under the name Bunonema sp. FTL-2B-2. RNAcentral's name for it is "LSU rRNA". It matches the Rfam family "Eukaryotic large subunit ribosomal RNA", at positions 393 to 737 of the family's 3401-position model. Lineage: Eukaryota; Metazoa; Nematoda; Chromadorea; Rhabditida; Bunonematidae. The record is from RNAcentral.
UAGAACGUGAAACCGUUAUGCUGGAAGCAAAUGAAACCGAAGGCAAGCCGUGCCAUUCCUUUGGAUAGGUGGUUGUUUGGUUUGGCGGGUGCGUUCCCUCGGGGGCGUGCUCGUCGGGCUCGACGGCUGCUGGUCUGAUUGAUUUGGUGCGGUAUGCUCUUGAGAACCGCGGCGUCCGUGUCUCGCCCUCACGUUGGCUCCUAACCGUCGCCGGUUAGCGAGACGGCGGAGGCGCGUGGACUACCGACGCUGCGGGGCUACGUCGCUUACUUGCGUCCCCAUGUCGCUGUCGUCGGCUCGUGGCUGUACUGCUUGCAGUGCACUGCGACCGGUGGCUGUCGGGAGGGGCGCGAUUCCGCGGCGGGCUCUCGGGAGUGCCGUCGGUGCAUUAUUUGACCCGUCUUGAAACACGGACCAAGGAGUUUAGCAUGAUCGCGAGUCAUUGGGCGCGUAAAACCCAUUGGCGUAAUGAAAGUGAGUCGCACGC